RNAcentral lists this ribosomal RNA (491 nucleotides) under uncultured bacterium. RNAcentral's name for it is "partial 16S ribosomal RNA". The stretch from base 56 to 491 matches the Rfam family "Bacterial small subunit ribosomal RNA", at positions 39 to 507 of the family's 1533-position model. The record is from RNAcentral.
GGGGGGGGGGGGGGGGGGGGGGGAGACGUGCGAGUGGGGGGGGAGGGUGGGGGGGGCUGGGGGCCGCUGAGGGCGAGCGGGGGACGGGCGAGGAGCGCGUAGGCGCCCUGCCCUGCACCACGGGGUAACCCGGCGAGGGGCGGACGAGUUCCGUCGGGGGUCCAUUGACGGCACCCGGAGUGGACGCACCGCCUGGCGGAGGAGGACGGGGGAUGCGUCCGAUUGGGUUGACGGCGGGGUAACGGCCCACCGUGGCUACGAUCGGUAGGGGUUCUGAGAGGAAGGUCCCCCACACUGGAACUGAGACACGGUCCAGACUCCUACGGGAGGCAGCAGUGAGGAAUAUUGGUCAAUGGGCGUAAGCCUGAACCAGCCAAGUAGCGUGCAGGAUGACGGCCCUAUGGGUUGUAAACUGCUUUUAUGCGGGGAUAAAGUGGCCCACGUGUGGGCUUUUGCAGGUACCGCAUGAAUAAGGACCGGCUAAUUCCGUG